This 497-nucleotide ribosomal RNA is filed under the name uncultured bacterium. RNAcentral describes it as "partial 16S ribosomal RNA". It matches the Rfam family "Bacterial small subunit ribosomal RNA", at positions 28 to 507 of the family's 1533-position model. The record is from RNAcentral.
GAUGAACGCUGGCGGCGUGCCUAAUACAUGCAAGUCGAGCGAACAGACGAGGAGCUUGCUCCUCUGACGUUAGCGGCGGACGGGUGAGUAACACGUGGAUAACCUACCUAUAAGACUGGGAUAACUUCGGGAAACCGGAGCUAAUACCGGAUAAUAUAUUGAACCGCAUGGUUCAAUAGUGAAAGACGGUUUUGCUGUCACUUAUAGAUGGAUCCGCGCCGCAUUAGCUAGUUGGUAAGGUAACGGCUUACCAAGGCAACGAUGCGUAGCCGACCUGAGAGGGUGAUCGGCCACACUGGAACUGAGACACGGUCCAGACUCCUACGGGAGGCAGCAGUAGGGAAUCUUCCGCAAAGGGCGAAAGCCUGACGGAGCAACGCCGCGUGAGUGAUGAAGGUCUUCGGAUCGUAAAACUCUGUUAUUAGGGAAGAACAAAUGUGUAAGUAACUAUGCACGUCUUGACGGUACCUAAUCAAAAAGCCACGGCUAACUACGUG